UACGGAGGGUGCAAGCGUUAUCCGGAUUCACUGGGUUUAAAGGGCGCGUAGGCGGAUAGGUAAGUCAGUGGUGAAAUCCUGCAGCUUAACUGCAGAACUGCCGUUGAUACUAUCUAUCUUGAAUGUCGUUGAGGUUUGCGGAAUAGGUCAUGUAGCGGUGAAAUGCAUAGAUAUGACCUGGAACACCUAUUGCGAAGGCAGCAGGCUAAACGAAUAUUGACGCUGAGGCUCGAAAGCGUGGGGAUCAAACAGG
This 253-nucleotide ribosomal RNA is filed under the name uncultured bacterium. Its description in RNAcentral is "partial 16S ribosomal RNA". It matches the Rfam family "Bacterial small subunit ribosomal RNA", at positions 524 to 776 of the family's 1533-position model. The record is from RNAcentral.